ACAAAAUCCGUCUUUGAAGA
This 20-nucleotide microRNA is filed under the name Arabidopsis thaliana (thale cress). Its description in RNAcentral is "ath-miR866-3p". Its record names the gene ath-miR866-3p. Lineage: Eukaryota; Viridiplantae; Streptophyta; Magnoliopsida; Brassicales; Brassicaceae. The record is from miRBase by way of RNAcentral.